AACAGUCGGUCACUCUCGGCCAUUGCGGCAAUUUUUCUGAACAAUUUUAUACUCGUCCGUAUCAUAUACAUACAAAGAGAGAAAGAGUGACUAUAAUACAAACUUCUUUUCAGAGUUCAAAGCCUUUCUAAGGCUAAGCACGCGAGGGGUAUGAAUAUUUAUGCCGAGAUCGACUUUGAUUUAAUUUUAAAAUUUCUCAGUCCGGCAGCGGAAUUAAAAUUUUUGAUGAGCUAGGUUCUCGAGGAAGUUUCGCAAUAGCUCUGUUUUUUCGAAUUUUCUAGCGACCACAGCGUGAAAUUGAUCGAAGCCCCGAUUUUCGCGCAGCGUUUCUAAUGCCUUGCGAAAUGCCGGCGUUGGUCAGCGACCUCUUCGUUGGACACGAUUUUCCUCAAAAUUAGGAAAUCAACGACAAAGUCUCGUUGCGCAAUGAUCGCGCGGCGAGAGAAGAAUUUUCCACGUAAAUCAAAAAUAGAAUCGCAUGCAGCCCAUAAAGUGUCGCCCCUCCUCUUCUCCUUGACAUUAUCUCCUCUAUCCAGCCAUUCCAACGUAUAUCCAGAGUCAGCCAACCGCAGGCAUAUAGCAAAAAUUCGCGUCUAUCUCUAUCUCUGUCCGGUAUGCCUUCAACCUAAGUCUAUACGGCUCUCUCUCUCUCUCACUCUCUCUCUCUCUCUCUCUCUCUCUCUCUCUCUCUCUCUCUCUCUCUCUCUCUCUCUCUCAGUAGCUCAGCGCCGAUAAAAGGAAAUCGUGCUCUCUCUUCUGUUUCUCGUGCAGGUAUAUACGUGCUGUUGGCGUCCUUGAAAGAGAAGCGUUACGAGAGUGCUAUACCCUUCGAUUCUCCUGUCCCAGAUAUAUGUGUACACAGACACUCACACACGCGCUCUCGGUUCGCUGCUGCUGCUGCUCUGCACUUUACUUUAGCUGUUUUUCUUCGCAGAGGCAAUUAGAACGACCAGGACGGACAAUGCGGGGCUUCUUUCGAGAUCAGCUGCUCUGCUCUGUGAGGCAUUCGCGCUUUUGUUUCAGUUUAUCUUGAUGUUGUGGACCAGGAGAUCCAAUGCGAUAGGGUUUGUUUAUUGGAAAAUUAGAGGGGCGGAGGAGUGUGUAGGUUGCGCGCGGGAUUUUUUUUCGGCGGAGAGGUUUAGCAGCUCUUUCAUAACUUUAUCAAUGAUGUGCUUCGGUGCUUUGUUUCAUCCUCUAUUUAUUGAACUACUGCGUAAGAUUCAAUUCUCAGAUUGGUGUUCCUGGUCUUGGAUUGCGAUAAGAUUGUUACUAUGAAUCGAGAUCUUAAUGAACGGUUUUGUAAUAACGAAACUCCUAGCUUCGUUAUUUAGCAUUUUGAAACUUACUCUUAUCUUUGUGCUUUUCGCCUUAACACCGAAAUUACUGGUUGUUUCGUACGAAAAUCUGCCUCGAGAAAUCGUCGCACAGAAUAAUCAUCGUCCGAAGGCGAUUCGCCACGGUGAAAAGGCGAGUCGGAUCUCGCUGGUGGAUUAAUGGCGUUUUCGAGUGCUCAAAAUUGCUGCUAAAAUUGGCGCUGCUGCUGCUGCUAGUUCGCGCCUGCUUGGGACGUUAAAAAUAGCGAGCCAAGAGAGCGAGUUCGCUCCGCUACGGCAGGGCAAAUAAAAUCACGGGCCGAACCGAGCUACCGCGUGGCUAAUAUAGACUCCGCUCUGCCGCUGCAGCUUGGACUGUAGGCGACAGUGUAGCGAGUCGUCUUUCAACGUGCAGUUGAGGCUAGUAGCUUGUGGAUUAGUUUUGAUUCAGUUUUGAUGCGGUGUGCAGAUUUUAAUCUGCUCGCGUGCUAUAAGCACUAUGAGGAAACUGAUAAGCUCGAUAACUUUCCACUCUGAAUUAUGGAUCAUUCACAUUGGUAAAUUCAAUAUAAUUCGAUAAUCUAUAGUGAUUCACGACAAAAACUCACUCUAAAUAUUACAAUAUGCAUAUAUAGGGCUUUGACUGUGGUGCGAAUUUCGCUGCGCAAUAUCGUCAGUGCUUGUAUAGCAUAUGCGUAGUGUGGUUAUCGUGUCUUUCGUCGAUUAUCGAAAACAAUGACACAUCCUAUUACGCAGUCAUUGUAUACUCUGAUUAAAUCAGCUGACAGCUCAGUAGUUGCUCUCUGUCUUCGCACUGAAAACACUGAGAAACUAGAACAGCGUGAUAAAAUGUUUCCUUUCAUUCGUGCGAUAAAAACGUUUGCAUUAUUACUAAAAAAGCCUAUUUAAAUAAUAACCCAAUCCUCUGUAUAUACUGAAUUACUGGAGACAACUUCUUCGAGCAUAAUAUCUGAGCUUACGACAGCGAGUAUGACAAGUGCCACGCAGCACAUCUCGCAGUAGCUUUCAGAGUUGUCCCUCAUUCAUUAUUUAACUCGCAUCCUUGCCAUGCAGCAGCAGCAGCCUACAUAACGGGCCCUUGCAGGCUUUCGCUCUUUCCCUUCCCUCUCGACUCGUCAGCUGAUCGACGCGAAGCGCUGCCCACAAGCGCGUUCGUCGCGCCUCUCCUACGUCACAAAGAAACGGCGGGUUGCUGCACUCGCUCGCUUCUUUGUGCGCCGCGCGCGCGGUUUCCUUAUCUUUGUUUCUCCCGCCGAGUCGUUGCUGCUGCCGCUGUUUUUUGUUCUUGUUCGUUUUAUGCGCGUUUCGCUGUCUUUCUCCUUCCUUCUCUGCAGCGACGCGCGAGAGGCCUUGGCGAACGAAAGAAAAAGAGACACUGUGUGGGACUGACUCAUCGCGGCGUUGUCGAUGCGCUCAGCGUGUGUCUCUUGCACUUGACUCGAUGCGACUUUACUUUGAGGUCUGAGGGCGAGGGAAGGAUUAUAGCUUUGGGUUUAAGAGCUUCACAAGAGAAGGAUCGGAGUUAUAGAUUGUUUGGAAAGGAGAUCGAGACACAUUUCGCAUAGACGCUUCUCUCGAACUAAAUUGACGGUUGCGUGCUCCAGUUUGGCCACAGUUUGUAGUAGGUAUACAGUUGAAGAAGGCUGAUGGAAGUAUGCCACGAUAGAACUGCUCGUAUACUUUCCUGUAAAUAAUUCACCUCUCGAGAGCUGCCUCGAUUUCAAUACGCCAGGGGAGCCGCACCUGAGGCAGAGGCACCUGAGUCACGUAAACGUUGAUGAUUCUCGCGCACGCAGCGCUAAUUUCACCUUAUAAAAAAUGACGAAACCAUAACAUGUUAUUAUGAAAUUCAAUACUGCGCCGCGUGCGAAUAUAUUAUCGUGAAUGAAGCUUGACCUCGCGGCUGUCAAGAAAAUUGCGCUGGACAUUGCGCCUUUCAAACCGGCCCUUUUUUCUCUCUCCUCCUUUCCACUCUCUCUCUCUCUCUCUCUCUCUCUCUCUCUCUCUCUCUCUCUCUCUCUCUCUCUCUUUUCAUUCAUUUGCCAUCGUCCGAAGAGGUUCACAGCGAGAUGUGCCUCUUUUCGGUGCGUGCUUUUGCGUUGGCGUCUUCGCGAGAGGGAGAGCGACUUACAUUUAUAAUGGCCCGUGGAACCUGCGACAUUCGAUGCAUAAAUAAAUUUGCAACACACACUAUAAAAUUGGGUAACGCGAAAAAUUCUUAUCCGCUUCUGAUACAGCCAGAAUUGGUUAGCUAGUCGUUGGCACGGCGAACGGGAAGCACGCCCUAAACUUGAUCCCAACCUCGAAUAAAUCCCGAAUUUUCCUCAGUCAUCACCGUCGUCGUAGAGCGCGACCUUCGUGACGCAACGAUCGAUGCUCUGCAUAAUGUACCAGGGCGAAAAGCGCGUAUGUGUAAUUGCGAUCGGUCGAGGCUUUUGGCCGAAAAAGGCUCGUCGCGAGACGAUCAGUGACUUUCGCGCUCUCGUGGCCCCGCGGGCAGUAGGUCGCGAGGACCUUGGCAGAGUUCGCUCCUGCAUGUCGCGGUCCCCUUUUUCGACGAUUUUUUCGUAAUCGAGUUACGGUGCCCUCGCGGAUGCACGUGUAACAGCUGGAGGACUUGUUUGUUCGCUCUUCAUCCCGGAGUUAUUUCUCGGUGGAUUUUUCUGAGAAAUAAAAAUUAUUGUACGCCGAAGACGGCAUAGGGUAUCUUGUUUUAUUAAAAAUGCGCGUAUAUCUUUUUAAACUGAAGAAAACUAAAACUGCCUCUCGGGUGAAAAGUUUGUGGCGAUACAAUGGCUAUCUAAUCUUCGCGUUGGCCAACGACAUUAGCAAAACAACAUUUAACCUCCGCGAUAGCUUUAGCGCUUCUAACCUUGAAGUAUCCGGCUUAUCGGCUAGCGCACGUUGUGCUACGUACAACAGCAGUAUACACUACAUCGUUCUGAAGUAACAUUGUAAUUCUGUUUUCAGAAAAAAAUAGAUAAUAUUGUGUACAAACAAAGAGCAGAUAGAAUGAAAAGAUGCGACGUCACUCUCGCGCGAUCGUCAAUCUUCAUUUGUUGUGCUGAAGCUAUUUUCCAAUAUCGAGUUUGCCUUGUUACACCACCCACGAUCCGUCGUCCGAUCGCGGCCAACGCCUAGGGCAAUGUCAGUUCAGAAACUCCGAACAGCUGAUAUCUGCGCAGUGCAGUUACAGCGAUCGAGGUGUGUUUACGAUGGCGCAAACACUGUAUCUCGGAAGUCAAUUUCGAUUCGCAUAGCCCAAGGAAAUCAUGUGACGAUAUGAUAGAAAUCGACGUCUUACAACUUCCCGACGACAAAGCAAGUUGAAAACAUACAAUCGAUUCAGCGAAACAACAAUACCAGCGCGUCAUCGUCGAACGGAAAUUUUUAUGAUUGAAUAGCAAACACAUGCGGACCUCUUCAGCUUCUCCCCGAAUCAACCGGAAUUCCGUCCACCUCUAACAAACAAUCUCCAGAACAACAACCCGAUUUAACAAACAGACGCUUCCUCCGAGAGCGAAAAAAAGAAGCCGAGCCGCUCUAUUUCUCGCGACUCAUUUAUUCCCACCACCAGUCUCUCUUUCUUCUUCGUAUUCCCUCUUCUCGCGAAAGAGAGACUUGGCGCCUCGGCGUCGCUUAAAUAUAAAUCGGACCGCGGGAGUGGCCGAACUUUCAGUCUUGGCGUCGCGACGCUCGCGAAACGCACGCCUCGAGCAUCUCUCCACAAUUUUCUCAAGUAUUGUGGCAGCGUCUCUCUGCGAUAGUGAAAAGCCAUUUUUGCUGGCGCGAGUGCACAGUUUUAAAUUUCAUUUGGAAUCGCUCAAUUUGUGGUUGGAGUUAUUUCGUCCAUUCGGCGAGAUUUAAGAGGAUCGUGAGAGAAGUUUUUGGAAGAGGCCGAGAACGGAAAGAAAGGGAUUUGGAGGUACCCCUGGACCUGUGGAGAAACUUUUGGACUGGCUUGUUUGCGUUUCUUCUGAGCGAGCAACGAAAAUCAAGUGUCCAGAGUUGCAAGGAAUACCUUUCUUUAUCCAAGAGAAUCUGCCACUCGACACUGCCACUCCUCUCUCGGCGACGAAAAGAAAAAUAAACUGUUUACCGUCAUCUGCGAAGGCGUUCGAGAGAAAAAAAAAACACAAUAAAUAUCGACAAGAGAAAGGGGACACAGCAUCAGCGGCGGUGACGAAAAAAA
This 5526-nucleotide long non-coding RNA is filed under the name Nasonia vitripennis (jewel wasp). Its description in RNAcentral is "uncharacterized LOC116417271, transcript variant X2". The record is from RNAcentral. Lineage: Eukaryota; Metazoa; Arthropoda; Insecta; Hymenoptera; Pteromalidae.